CAGCCGCCGCGGUAAUACAGAGGGUGCGAGCGUUAAUUGGAUUUACUGGGCGUAAAGCGUGCGUAGGCGGCUUCUUAAGUCGGAUGUGAAAUCCCUGAGCUUAACUUAGGAAUUGCAUUCGAUACUGGGAAGCUAGAGUAUGGGAGAGGAUGGUAGAAUUCCAGGUGUAGCGGUGAAAUGCGUAGAGAUCUGGAGGAAUACCGAUGGCGAAGGCAGCCAUCUGGCCUAAUACUGACGCUGAGGUACGAAAGCAUGGGGAGCAAACAGGAUUAGAUACCCCUGUAGUCCCUGUCUCUUAUAC
Molecule: ribosomal RNA, 301 nt
Filed under: uncultured bacterium
Lineage: Bacteria
Description: partial 16S ribosomal RNA
Rfam family: Bacterial small subunit ribosomal RNA
Source: RNAcentral